This 88-nucleotide microRNA precursor is filed under the name Setaria italica (foxtail millet). RNAcentral's name for it is "pre miRNA mir-160". It matches the Rfam family "mir-160 microRNA precursor family". From Rfam's summary of the family: The hairpin precursors (represented here) are predicted based on base pairing and cross-species conservation -- their extents are not known. In this case the mature sequence is excised from the 5' arm of the hairpin. Lineage: Eukaryota; Viridiplantae; Streptophyta; Magnoliopsida; Poales; Poaceae. RNAcentral also lists the same sequence under 1 other name. The record is from Rfam by way of RNAcentral.
GUGUGCCUGGCUCCCUGUAUGCCACACAUGUAUCCCAACCCGUGGCGUGAUUGGAUGCUGUGGGUGGCGUGCAAGGAGCCAAGCAUGC